GCCUAAGUCCCCCAAAACCCAUAUGCCACCUGAGUGUAAACCACCACCACACCACUGGAGACGCUCCGACCACCACCACGCCACCGGAGACGCUCCGACCACCACCUUCAACCCCUUCACGCCACCCGAGAAGACCACCAUCUGCAACCUCUUCACGCCAACGGAGACAACCACCAUCUGCAAACCCUACACGCCACCGGAGACGACCACCACCAGCAACCCCUUCACGCACUCGUUCAUUCUUCACUGCCUCUGUACCCGCCACCGCAGCUCAUCGAGGAAGGUGAGAAGGAAUUGGACGACAAAAUUACUGAGUUGCACGAGUUAGUUUCACCUUUUGGAAAGUUCAGGAGCAAGUGGUAACGAGAACAGAGGAAAAUUUCCGAUGACCACAACACCACAAUUGAUUUCUUGCCAUUUUCCAGCUCAAAACGCAGGAACCUCUACUAUCAUCUUAGAAAGUAUUUGGUGUAAAUGAGCCCUUUCUACCACUUCAAGGACCUUUACUUCUUAACUUAACUUGAGUUCAAGUUAUCCGACUAAGUUUGGAAAGUAUUUGACUAAGUAUCUGAUGAAGAAGCGGAUGAUGACACGGAUAUGACGUACAAUUAUAUGUUAGGUAGUUUUAUGAUGUGUUUGUGAAUUGGUUACUUAAAACGAACCCGGAUUGUGACGUUUAUGCUUAUGUUUUUUUUUAAAGGCAACCAUUUAUGCUUA
Molecule: long non-coding RNA, 717 nt
Organism: Helianthus annuus (common sunflower)
Lineage: Eukaryota; Viridiplantae; Streptophyta; Magnoliopsida; Asterales; Asteraceae
Exons: 4
Source: RefSeq, a predicted model, not a curated record